RNAcentral lists this ribosomal RNA (248 nucleotides) under uncultured bacterium. RNAcentral describes it as "partial 16S ribosomal RNA". It matches the Rfam family "Bacterial small subunit ribosomal RNA", at positions 524 to 776 of the family's 1533-position model. The record is from RNAcentral.
UACGUAGGGUGCAAGCGUUAAUCGGAAUUACUGGGCGUAAAGCGUGCGCAGGCGGUGAUGUAAGACAGGUGUGAAAUCCCCGGGCUUAACCUGGGAACUGCAUUUGUGACUGCAUCGCUGGAGUGCGGCAGAGGGGAUGGAAUUCCGCGUGUAGCAGUGAAUGCGUAGAUAUGCGGAGGAACACCGAUGGCGAAGGCAAUCCCCUGGGCCUGCACUGACGCUCAUGCACGAAGCGUGGGAGCAACAGG